CCUACGGGAGGCAGCAGUGAGGAAUAUUGGUCAAUGGGGGCAACCCUGAACCAGCCAAGUCGCGUGCGGGAAGACGGUCCUAUGGAUUGUAAACCGCUUUUAUCGGGGGGCAAACUGCGCCACGCGUGGCUUUCCGCAGGUACCGCAAGAAUAAGGACCGGCUAAUUCCGUGCCAGCAGCCGCGGUAAUACGGAGGGUCCGGGCGUUAUCCGGAUUUAUUGGGUUUAAAGGGUGCGCAGGCGGAAGAUCAAGCUUGCGGUAAAAUGGAGGGGCUCAACCUGUGCGAGCCGCCGAAACUGGUGUGCUUGAGUGAGCGAGAAGUAUGCGGAAUGCGUGGUGUAGCGGUGAAAUGCAUAGAUAUCACGAAGAACUCCGAUUGCGAAGGCAGCAUACCGGAGCUUAACUGACGCUGAUGCACGAAGGUGCGGGUAUCGAACAGGAUUAGAUACCCGUGUAGUC
RNAcentral lists this ribosomal RNA (459 nucleotides) under uncultured bacterium. RNAcentral describes it as "partial 16S ribosomal RNA". It matches the Rfam family "Bacterial small subunit ribosomal RNA", at positions 338 to 795 of the family's 1533-position model. The record is from RNAcentral.